CUAAUCUUUUCUCUCCAGUGUGGACUACCAUGUGUGACCGUAAACUUCCUAUCCGUGUAAAAGAUUUCUUACAGACUGAGCAGCUGAAAGGUUUUUCUCCUGUGUGAGUUCUCAUGUGACUCUUCAGGUUUCCACUUUCGGUGAAAGCUUUAUCACACUCAGAGCAGCUGAAAGGCUUCUCUCCUGUGUGAGUUCUCAUGUGUAUGUUCAGAUGUGACUUAAAGCCAAAUGUUUUCCCACACGCAGAGCAGCUGAAUCGUUUCUUACAUGUUAAAUCAUGUUUCAGAGAGUUUAAAGCUGACUGAGGUUCUCUGGUCUCCUUCCAAUCAGCACUGUCAUCAGUCUCAGGUUCAGAAGAGUCUCCAGUCUGGUCUUCAGUCUCUGG
Long non-coding RNA from Sander lucioperca (pikeperch), 385 nucleotides. RefSeq lists it as uncharacterized. The record is from RefSeq and is a predicted model, not a curated record. The transcript has 3 exons. Lineage: Eukaryota; Metazoa; Chordata; Actinopteri; Perciformes; Percidae.